AUACGGAGGAUGCGAGCGUUAUCCGGAUUUAUUGGGUUUAAAGGGUGCGUAGGUGGUAGAUUAAGUCAGCGGUUAAAUCGUGGGGCUCAACCCCAUUCUGCCGUUGAUACUGGGUGGCUUGAUUGCGGUCGAGGUUGGCGGAAUUCGUUGUGUAGCGGUGAAAUGCAUAGAUAUGACGAAGAACACCGAUUGCGUAGGCAGCUGACCAGACCGCAAAUGACGCUCAUGCACGAAAGUGCGGGGAUCGAACAGGAUUAGAUACCCUGGUAGUCCGCACAGUAAACGAUGAAUACUUGUUUUCGGCGAUAUAAUGUCGGAGGCAAAGCGAAAGCGAUAAGUAUUCCACCUGGGGAGUACGCCGGCAACGGUGAAACUCAAAUGAAUUGGCGGGG
RNAcentral lists this ribosomal RNA (392 nucleotides) under uncultured bacterium. RNAcentral describes it as "partial 16S ribosomal RNA". It matches the Rfam family "Bacterial small subunit ribosomal RNA", at positions 523 to 918 of the family's 1533-position model. The record is from RNAcentral.